CGCGAAACCUUUACACUGCACGCCAGUGCGAUAAGGGGACUCCAAGUGCGAGGGCAUAUCGUCCUCGCUUUUCACCACCGUAAGGUGGUGGUGGAAUAAGGGCUGGGCAAGACCGGUGCCAGCCGCCGCGGUAAUACCGGCAGCCCGAGUGAUGACCGCUAUUAUUGGGCCUAAAGCGUCCGUAGCUGGCCUCGCAAGUCCAUCGGGAAAUCCGCGCGCUCAACGCGCGGGCGUCCGGUGGAAACUGCGUGGCUUGAGACCGGAAGACCUGAGGGGUACGUCUGGGGUAGGAGCGAAAUCCUGUAAUCCUGGACGGACCACCGGUGGCGAAAGCGCCUCAGGAGGACGGAUCCGACGGUGAGGGACGAAAGCUCGGGUCACGAACCGGAUUAGAUACCCGGGUAGUCCGAGCUGUAAACGAUGUCUGCUAGGUGUGCCACAGGCUACGAGCCUGUGGUGUGCCGUAGGGAAGCCGUGAAGCAGACCGCCUGGGAAGUACGUCCGCAAGGAUGAAACUUAAAAGAAUUGGCGGGGGAGCACUACAACCGGAGGAGCCUGCGGUUUAAUUGG
RNAcentral lists this ribosomal RNA (570 nucleotides) under uncultured haloarchaeon. RNAcentral describes it as "bacterial SSU rRNA". It matches the Rfam family "Archaeal small subunit ribosomal RNA", at positions 340 to 909 of the family's 1478-position model. The record is from RNAcentral. Lineage: Archaea; Methanobacteriati; Methanobacteriota; Halobacteria; Halobacteriales; Halobacteriaceae.